This is a long non-coding RNA of Bos taurus (domestic cattle), 787 nucleotides long. NCBI's taxonomy places the organism in Eukaryota, Metazoa, Chordata, Mammalia, Artiodactyla, Bovidae. The record is from Ensembl.
GAAGUUCAGAGAAGCCGAGUAACUCGCCUAAGGGAACAGAGUUGGGCGAUGCAGUCGCCUUGUCCCGCCUGGGCAAGUUCAAGAACCACAGGAGGGGUUGUUUUUGGCAGAGGAAUCCACUAGAAGCUUACCACACGUUCCCUUGAGCUUUUCAAGGACUUCCUGGAGGGCUGGUCCACCCCACCCACUGGGGUAGAAUAAACUUGGUUUCCAGGAGCCUGGCUUUCUCUGAGAGGUGGAUUCUUUUCCUGCUGAGCCAGGGAAGGGAAGACUUCAUGGAGGGAACUGUCAGUGUAAAAAUGAUAGCUCCUGUUCUCAAGGAGACAUAUGGAGAAGAUAGAAGCCAUGGUUCCAAGGAGGGCAUGGGACAUAUCAGGGGAACUCGGUCCAGCUGGAGCGGCGUGCUUCCUCCCGGGCCAGGGCUGCGGCAGUGGCCGACCGUCCCUGGCCAGAGCUGCUCAACCCCCGCCGGCAGCGCCCACUCCCCCCAGGGACUACCGGACCCGGGCCAGGGACAGCAGACACCUAGGCUGAGCCUGGAACUAGACAGCCCCCGACCUCCGCAGCGCGCACGCUGUAGUCUCGCCUCACCCCACCCGCCACCCGUCUUCAGUGUCUCCUCGCGCCUUCUCCCCAGGGUCUGCGCCGGUCCUCCACACCUUCACACAGGUCUCGGUCUGUGCUGUAACACCGGCCUCAUUCCCGGCGCUCGGCUCGGGUCAACGUCUGCUGAGCUUCCAGAGGAAGCUCAUUCACCGCAUAGUUGGAUAGGGGAGGAGUUGGGGCG